RNAcentral lists this ribosomal RNA (256 nucleotides) under uncultured bacterium. RNAcentral describes it as "partial 16S ribosomal RNA". It matches the Rfam family "Bacterial small subunit ribosomal RNA", at positions 524 to 776 of the family's 1533-position model. The record is from RNAcentral.
UACGAAGGGGGCUAGCGUUGUUCGGAAUUACUGGGCGUAAAGCGCGUGUAGGCGGGUCUUUUAAGUCAGGGGUGAAAUGCCAAGCUCAACCUUGGAACUGCCUUUGAUACUGGAGACCUUGAGUCCGGGAGAGGUGAGUGGAAUUGCGAGUGUAGAGGUGAAAUUCGUAGAUAUUCGCAAGAACACCAGUGGCGAAGGCGGCUCACUGGCCCGGAACUGACGCUGAGACGCGAAAAGCGUGGGGGAGCAAAACAGG